UACGAGGGGGGCGAGCGUUGUUCGGAAUUAUUGGGCGUAAAGGGUGCGUAGGCGGUUUGGUAAGUCCGCUGUGAAAUCCCCGAGCUCAACUUGGGAAUUGCAGUGGAUACUGGCAAGCUGGAGUAUGGUAGAGGAAGGUGGAAUUCCCGGUGUAGCAGUGAAAUGCGUAGAGAUCGGGAGGAACACCAGUGGCGAAGGCGGCGUCCUGGCCUGCGACUGACGCUGUGGCGCGAAAGCUAGGGGAGCGAACGGG
This 253-nucleotide ribosomal RNA is filed under the name uncultured bacterium. RNAcentral describes it as "partial 16S ribosomal RNA". It matches the Rfam family "Bacterial small subunit ribosomal RNA", at positions 524 to 776 of the family's 1533-position model. The record is from RNAcentral.